CUUCUCCAUCUUUCAAUCAGUUGCAUAUACCUAACCCUAAUCCCCAAUUCGUCCCCCCUGCAAGUCACCCUCAAAUACGCAAUUGUUAGUUUGUUACCACCAUCACCACCAUAAACAACCUUCCCUCUUCUCCCUCACCACCACUCUAGCCACUGCCACCCGGCCACCGCCACCCAACCCCAACUACCACCCGCCGUCCGCCACCCAUCCCUCCAGUCUUAGAUCUGUUACUAUGUAAACCCACAUAAUUUUACAAAACAAACCCACAAAAAUUUUACAUUACUUGAACAAAAGAUUGAUACUUUGAGAUCAUACUCAACGAUAUAUGCAUCUAAACACGAAACCAGCAGUUUAAUUGCUCCGGAUUUGACGAUUUGACUCAAUUCUCCAGUUCGUACUUCGAGAAAUCAACGGUUUAGACUCGUUUUUGCAGAUCGGAAUUCCAGAUCGACGGUUUUUGCAUAUCGAGAAAUCAACGGUUUAGACCAGCUUGCUCUGAACCGACAGAACUGGCCGAUUUGCAGAUCGGGUACUGGCCAAGUUGUAGAUCUGGAUUAGCUUGCUCAGAUUCCAGACCGGGAUUAGCUUGCAGCGUUUUAGUUAGCUAUGCGUGAAGACUGAUGAGGAACACCAUGUGUGUGGUGAUGUUAGAGAAAUCUAGAUGAAUUAUGUGUGUUUUUCUUUUUUUUUAGUUUUAAAUUUUAACAGUGGACAACUUCACUUUUGGGUAGUUGACCCACCGCCCACAACCCAUCCCUCUAUAAAUUCACAUAACUUUUAGUUUGUUGAAUUAGAGUGUUCAUAAGUGUUUGACUAGAUCUGGUUUUUAAUCAAUUAGGUUAGAGCAGGAAUUAAGGUUUUUGUUUGGGUUAGAGUUUGAAUUGAUUUGAAUUGGUUGCAACCUGGUGGUGGUUGUGGUUGGGUGGCGGUGGUCGGGUGGCAGUGACUAGAGUGGUGGUAAGUGAGAAGAGGGAAGGUUGUUUAUGGUGGUGGUGGUGGUGGUGGUGUUAGAGUGAUGGUAACGGUUUUUAUAACAGGGUACAUUAAUUGGUAGGUAGAAUGACAUUAAUGCCCUCAUGUGAUUCUCACAUGACCUGACUUAACUGGGAAAACAAACUAGGUUUAGGGUAAAGGACAUAACCUGAAUGGUUUUUCAAACAUUAAGUAUGUUUUCUGAGCUUAUUAAAGAUAAAGGACAUACUUUGUAAUAAAUGACAUAUAUAAAGGACGAACUUUGUAAUUUACUCUAUAUAAAGUAAUUAAGUAUAUGAUUCGGGUAUAUGGUUCAGGUAUAUAGCUUUGGGUAAUUGGGCAGGUAUCACCCAAUCCCAUACCCGCGGAAUACUUUUUUUUCAAAUCCCAUACCCUGUCCCAUACCCAUCGGGUUUCGCAUAUACCCCUCUUGAAUAUAUAAAAAAAGAGUCUUACAGACCAUAUGACCACCAUAACUAUCUAGGUGUGUUACCAUAUUCGACUUUAGUUAAUAUCAUUUGAUCCCGGUCUUUUGGUCUUUUUGCAGGAAUUUUUUUCUAAUUUAAUGUUUCAUCUUGGUCAAUAUUAUUUGAUUGCGGUUUUUGUUCUAUUCGACUUCAGGAAAUUUGUCGGUUCGGGUCUCAGCUAAUAGUUCAGCUGGAAAUUUGACUGGUGGCUUGAAGCACUGCAACAUUGGUUUGUGAUUGAUUAAAGGGUUUUUAGGUAAUUUAUAGGGUUUUUAGGUAAUUUAUGAUGCUUUUAAUUUACUGUUCGAGAGGAGAUUUAGUGGGUUAGCUGUAGUUUUCCCUUUGAUUUUCACAUCAGAUAUGUAGUUGUUAAAGUGCAUAGCUCGUGGGCUGAUUUUCGUGACUAUUUUAAGCAACAGGUGAUUUGAAUAUUCAAGCUUUCGGUUUAAACAUCUUUAGUAACAUGUUAUUUAAUAACUUAAGUUAUAUGUAAUGUACGGAGUAGGGAGAAAAGGUUGCUCGCAUUUACCAUAAGGGGGGCAAACAUACAUUUUGAUUUUUCAUACAAGAGAGGAGAGUGGCUCGUGUUUGGGCCCGAAACCAGUGAGCUACCACCCGAGGCUUUGAAUGAGUGCAAAAAUGAGCCGUUUGGUGGUAGGACGCUUAAAAUUCCAAAGGUUGAAGUCGUGGAGGCGGGUUUCUCUUCUUUGGAGACGAUAUAUAUUAUCCUUCACGUGUUGUAUCAACUCCUACGUCACAAGCUUAUAGAAAACACUACUCACCAGGGUAUGGAGAAGUCAUUUAUGGUGGAAAACCAACUAGGCUUAAGAAUCUACUUGUAAUAUUUGACGGUGGAAGUUCAUUUACAUACCUAAGUUCACAGGCUUAUGAAGGCUUACUUUAUUUGUCGGGUAACAGGUUGGAGAUUAUUCCGAACACAACUCAGACUUAUUCGUGUCAAAACAUCAACUCUGUCUCACACAGACUUAAAAUCAUUAACUCGAACACCAAGUGUGUAGCCCAUUUAUCUAAACGAGUUGAGUACGUUAGUGGAUUUUCGAGUUGUAUUCAAAUUCCAACUCAUCCUCAAACAAUGGCGGAGCAUUUACCAUCGCUUUUCGGCACAGAAAAGUAUCAAGUGAAUUGUCCGUUCUAUUUCAAGAUCGGUUUGAGUAAAUUUUAAUGUUUUUUUUUAAUUUAUGAAACAAUUCUGAAACUUGAAUGUUUUUUUUAGUUAGAAACAGUUUGAGUAAUUUUAGUAAAAUAUUACAUAUUCUGAUGUUAUUGCAGGGGUCUAAUGUUCAAACUGCCUUACUUGUGUCAAAAGAUGGUCAACGGGGAUUCACAUUCCUUAAGUACAAGUGGUAACAAAGAUGUUUAAUUCCUAAGGUGUAUAUAUAACCGAUAUUUGUCUUUUUCUUGAUGUUUUUGUACACGGCUUCUAAAAAAACUUUGUUACCAUUUUAUGUAAUGUCAUUUGAUUUGCAUUACU
Molecule: long non-coding RNA, 2931 nt
Organism: Helianthus annuus (common sunflower)
Lineage: Eukaryota; Viridiplantae; Streptophyta; Magnoliopsida; Asterales; Asteraceae
Exons: 4
Source: RefSeq, a predicted model, not a curated record